CCAGGAGGAUCUCCCCAGGAGGAGAUGUUGGCUCUCCCUGGACCCAGAAAACGGAAAGCUGACGGCCCACGGGCCUCUCAAAAGGACCCCCAGGGAUGAGGGUCUUCCUUGUGUGUGUGGGCGGGGCAAGGGGAGACUCUUCGUGAUCAGAGGGUCUGGUCCCUAGUCCCUGGACACCCACACGGCCAAGGGCUCCCAGGACCGUGCGGGUUCCCUCCAUCCCCCACCGGAGGCCGACCGGGGCGCGGGGGGUCGGGGGGAGGAGGGAGACCCAGGGAGGCCCGACUUCCAGUCAUCCCCCCGCCCCCUCCUCGCUGGGACCCUAGGGCCCGCGCACAGCUGCCCUGACUCCGACUCCAUGCGCUCUGAGUGGAAGAAAGACCAACCCCAAACAAAGCCGGGCGCCAGCGGCGGGAGAAGUAGCCCGGGCCUCGGAGGGGCCGGGGGUGGGCGCUCGGGAGGCGGGGCGCGGCCGCAGGAAGUGCUGAGCGGGGCUGAGCGCGGCUGUGGUCCCGACCCGCCGGCCCUGCAAGCCCCCACCCGGCGCCGGCGGCCCUCGCUGCGGAGCCCGCGGCCGGUGACUUCUUCCUGGUCCCCUGGGAUAGGGUCUCCUGUCACAGCCAUCGAAGUGCCAUCCUCUCGUGGGCAGGUGGGCUCAGGUACAGAGACCGCGAGACUGUCUCCCCCGCUCUCGGACACACGGGCUCUGACCGGUGUAUUCUCCCGGGGCACCCACGUCGUGUCCUUUAUGCAAGGGUCUCUUGGCUGCAGUGUGACCCCCAGCCCAGCCCUGUGGCUCAGCUACCUCGGUUCUCAAGCAGGCCAAGCCAGGGACGUUUCAGCUCCUUCCAGCGGUCCCAUUCUGACCCCUUCAGAGGGACUGUCCACACACCAGGAAUAGGUCAGGUGCAUGGAAAUUAAAUAGGAGAGGGGGACAGAGAAGGACACACACGGGGCAGCGGGCCAGGGGCAGGGGGAGCUGCAACCAGGGCUCACUUGAAGCUGAAACUAAGUUGCACGUGAAGCCACUUAGACUCUAUUUCCCUUUCCAGCUCUGACCAUCACACAGGUCUGGCCUCUUGCUGACCAAGAACCCAGAGGAGGAAAGGGGCACUUAUUUAACUGAAGCGGUGGGUGGGCCUGGGCUUUGUUUUUACUGUAGAAUCGCCAAGCCCAUUCCCCCACCCCCAGGUAUGGGGAGCGCCCCCCUUAGGGAAUGGAGCGUCAGGGCACCCCCAGCCUGAGCUUGUGCUAAUGGGAACAGGCAGAGAAUGAGGUUGGGGAGCUCCCGGGAGUGGACAGGGUGGGGGAAGGGAGAAGUCACGCUAAGUGAAACCAGCAGGAUUGUCCCCUGGCCCUGGCCUGACUGUCUCGCCUCUUCUGCAGCCACUGGGUCCAGCCUUUGCUCACACUGUCCCCUGUAGGGUGAGCAGCCUCCCUUUCUUUUUGGCCUGCAGAAACCCUGCCUGUCCUCAAGGACUAGGUUAAAAGCCUUCCCACUGCACCCCAUCCUAGGCUGGCAGAACCAAGGCCACAUCCUCUCGGCCCCCACCAGGGACCUGAGGCUACGUCUGUGCCUGCGCCACUGUGAGCUCCUAAGGACCAACUCUAGCAGUUCUAAGUAGGGCUCCCGGCGCACGGUGGGGACUCAUGGCAUGUUUGUUGAAUGAGUGAAGUGCCUGCCCCCUGCUACCCGCCACCCACUGCCCAGCGUGGUCCACUCCUCUCUGCUCUCUCAGCCUGGCCAGCCCUGCCCUGCCCACCGGGACUCCCAGCGCCUCUGGCCGGCCACUGGGCUCUGUCUGCCUGUGCCCCACCUUCUCUGCACUUCAAGGGGUGGGGAGAAGCCAUUGAAGAGACAGGGAUCCCCAAGGCUGAGCCCAUGACCUUGUGCAUCUGGCCUGAGAGCAUCCCCAAAUCCAUCACCUCACUAUCAAGGCCUUGGACACUGUAUUUCUGAGAUGUCCUAGAGCCUGAACCCAUGGGCCUACUGGCCCCCCCGAACCCCAGCUUUGUUCUGCAGCCAGAGCCUUGGCCUGGAGGCCCAGCAUCCUAAGACUGCAUCACCAAGCUGUCUGGGAAAUCUAUGUCCUAAAUGUGGAUUUUGUGCAGAGGACACGCCCACCCUGGUGCUCCACCCCUACCCCCACUGGCUCAUGUACAUCUGUUCAGAUGCAAAGGGUAAUUGCAGUGCAGGGGGCCAUGGACUUGGAGAACUCGAAGGGGCUUUGAAGCCACAGACUCCAAGUGUGGUCCCAAGACCAGCAGCGGUGGCAGCAUCUGGGAGGGUGACCAAUGCCCCCACUUUGCCCAGAUUGUCCAGGUUCAGCCCUGUAAAUCCAGGGUUCCGAGAAGUCCCUCAGUCCUACCCAAACCUGAGUUGGACCCCCAGGGCCUGACACCCUGGGCAUGGCGCUGAGCAUCCGUGGCCACCAGCCCUCCAGAGUCUGGUGCUCCUAGGAACCACUGCCCCACCCCUCAAAUGGGGAAACAGACCCCCAGGGAAGGGGAGCUGCUUGCCUCAACCCUAGGCAGCUGCUAAGGGGCUGAGCCAGGAGUCCAGUUAUUCAGCCUGUUAGCAGCAGAAGAAAGGUACUGAUAAGGACCCAGGCAAACUGCUGUGGUCAGUGGGCACUCGGUCAGCUAGAGAAGACGGGACAGCUGCCUUCAGAGAGGCUAGGAUCUCGCUGAGCCGGGAGCACCUGGCGAAGCAGCAAGGGGCUGGAGCGUCAGAAGCAAGGGCAGCCAGGCCAGGCCCUAAGGGAGGAGGCAGCAGGCAGGCAAUGAGGCCAAAGAGGAGAUGACCUUGCAGGCAGUUAGGAGGCUAAAGAAAAGACGUCCUUGGCUGAAGUGGGGCUUGGGGAGGCGCAGUCACCUCUUUGUACCCACAGACGUCUCUAGGACCCUAUGGCAGCGGUGAGUCCCACCCCAUCUGCAGUGUCUCUUCUCACAUGCUUUCACAGACCUUUGUCCCCACCGCUCCCUCUACCACAUCAGGGUAAAGUCAGCCAUGGGCAAUAGACUAUUCAAACAUGUACCUUCAAGAAGCUACAAGCACGGAGAGGUCAAGUAACUUGCCCAAAGACACACAGUGGAGAAAUGACAAGGCCCGGUUGCACAUCUAGGCAUCUGGUUCCAAACUGCUUCUGACACUUCUUUAGGGCCCUGUGUCCAGUGGGGGUGCAGUGGGGGAAGGAGCCCUGAACGGGGUGGGGGGGGGGCAGGAAACUGCCACCGCCAAUUAGUCAUGUGACUCGAGAGAGAGAUCAUUUAAUGACGUCUGUCUUAACCCCGACGUAUGCGAACUUCCGCAUCCCUUCUGAAAGACGUUAAAUUAAGUGAGCCCCGAGGUUCCCGCUGGCCCCGACGCUCUGUGUUCUGUCUUCUCGGCCACCGAUGGCUGAAACCUUACCCUUAGAGAUGUGUUUCUUUUUGUUAAACGCUGUCGUCUGUCAUCUGCCUGAACGCCUCCUUUUUUGGUUUGGCCAUACCUGUUGCAGGCAGAAGUUCCCAGGCCAGGAAUCAAACCUGAGCCACAGCAGUGACAAUAUGCCCAAUCCUUAACCACUAGGCCAUCAGGGAGCUCCUGAAUGUCCCUUUUAAAAAUACACUUUCCUUCAGAGGAUCCUGACUUGUUGGUUGAGGGUCUAGAGAAGGUUCUGGUGUGUGAGCCCAGUGGGCUCCGGUUGGGAGCGGAGGGCCAGGCAAAGGGAGAAGAGAUGCAGACGGGAGAGGCUGGGCCCUAAACAGUCAAUUUACCUGCAGCCCAGUGGCCGGAGCAUCCCUUGUCAGGGCUUCCCGUGUAAUAGCUCCCUGUCCAGCAGCCUGCCAACCCCAUCUAUCACCGUUUUUUUAGACUUUUUUUUAUAGGCUUCCUUUUUUCUCCUUCUGUAUUUUUUUUCCCCACCACCCUAUCUCUCCGACUCCAUCAGAGAAAAAUGGGUUUUGUCUUUUUUUAACAAGAAGACAAAGUCUUAAAUUACCUUCUUCAAGGUCUGCAAAUAGAAAUCCCAAAUAAGACAGCCACCUCUUCUUUUCUCCCUUCCUCUCUCCCUGUCUCAGGAGCCCGUGAGCUUGAAAUAAAACACAGAGCAGUGGCCCGGGAGGAAGUAAU
RNAcentral lists this long non-coding RNA (4114 nucleotides) under Sus scrofa (pig). Its description in RNAcentral is "lncRNA (ENSSSCG00055006224.1)". Lineage: Eukaryota; Metazoa; Chordata; Mammalia; Artiodactyla; Suidae. The record is from RNAcentral.